This 501-nucleotide ribosomal RNA is filed under the name uncultured bacterium. RNAcentral describes it as "bacterial SSU rRNA". It matches the Rfam family "Bacterial small subunit ribosomal RNA", at positions 338 to 838 of the family's 1533-position model. The record is from RNAcentral.
CCUACGGGAGGCAGCAGUAAGGAAUAUUGGUCAAUGGAGGCAACUCUGAACCAGCCAUGCCGCGUGCAGGAAGACGGCCCUAUGGGUUGUAAACUGCUUUUGAACUAGAGAAAACCUUGGUACGUGUACCGAGUUGAUAGUAUAGUUAGAAUAAGCAUCGGCUAACUUCGUGCCAGCAGCCGCGGUAAGACGAAGGAUGCAAGCGUUAUCCGGAUUCAUUGGGUUUAAAGGGUGCGUAGGCGGACUGAUAAGUCAGUGGUGAAAUCUCUCAGCUUAACUGAGAAACUGCCAUUGAUACUGUUAAGUCUAGAGUACAGAUGAUGUGGGCGGAAUAUGACAUGUAGUGGUGAAAUACUUAGAUAUGUCAUAGAACACCGAUUGCGAAGGCAGCUCACAAAACUGUAACUGACGCUGAGCACGAAGUAGNGGGAGUACAACAGAUAGAUACCUACGUAGUCGCGACCGUAACGAUAGAUACUCGUUGUUGGUGNUAUGACAGUC